Lolium rigidum is the source of this 671-nucleotide long non-coding RNA. RefSeq lists it as uncharacterized. The record is from RefSeq and is a predicted model, not a curated record. The transcript has 2 exons. Lineage: Eukaryota; Viridiplantae; Streptophyta; Magnoliopsida; Poales; Poaceae.
CAUCGAGCUGCGCGGGGACGGCCGCCGUAGGGGUACCUCGAGACUCCAUUUUCGGCCAGGACUACAAGCAUUUAGCUUGUAGCUGGCUUUUUGGCGACGGGUGCCAACGCCUGGCUUGGGUCGGCGGUGGCAUGACCUUUCCAUUCUAAAUUGAAGUUUGUCUCAAAAGUUAAGACUAUAUGGAUGUUGCUAUGUGAACGUGGCAAGGCAACUGAAUAAGUUUUCCGUUGACAGGCGAGACCCCAAAUCGAUGCUACAUGACCACAUGUUCUAACUAAAGCUUCACUUUUCAUCUUAAUCAUUUGUUCAGUACCAUUUUAGAUACUUCUUACAUAAUUUUUCUGCCAUUCAGGCAUGAAGGCGGCAACUACUCACCAUUGCAAGCAGAAAGGCAUAGCUUCUGCUCUCAACUAAGGAAGCCUGGCAUUUUAUUAUGCCAUUGGGAGAGUAUACUUUGUUACACAAAUUUAUUCUAGUAUAAACUUUGUGCAAAUGUAGCUGCAACGGUAGUUCUUACAGACACAGUGUGUGCAUCAGUGUAUAUUAUCUACCAUGACUUGGAGUUCCUAUCUCGUGUUGUCAGAAACAUGUUUCUUUUUGCCAAGAUUGGCACCUGGAAAUUUUUGGUGACAUAAUGUAUUCAGAAUUUUAUUGGAUAUGAUGUAUUAGAA